Molecule: ribosomal RNA, 253 nt
Filed under: uncultured bacterium
Lineage: Bacteria
Description: partial 16S ribosomal RNA
Rfam family: Bacterial small subunit ribosomal RNA
Source: RNAcentral
UACGUAGGGUGCAAGUGUUGUCCGGAAUUAUUGGGCGUAAAGAGCUCGUAGGCGGUCUGUCGCGUCGGCUGUGAAAUCCCGAGGCUCAACCUCGGGUCUGCAGUCGAUACGGGCAAACUAGAGUAUUGCAGGGGAGACUGGAAUUCCUGGUGUAGCGGUGAAAUGCGCAGAUAUCAGGAGGAACACCGGUGGCGAAGGCGGGUCUCUGGGCAAUAACUGACGCUGAGGAGCGAAAGCGUGGGGAGCGAACAGG